Molecule: non-coding RNA, 238 nt
Filed under: Saccharopolyspora rectivirgula
Lineage: Bacteria; Bacillati; Actinomycetota; Actinomycetes; Pseudonocardiales; Pseudonocardiaceae
Source: RNAcentral
AGCCUGGGCCGUGCUGGUGGUUCGCCUCCGCGUCCGCUCCGGCGCGAGGCGAGGCAAGAGGGAAUCCGGUGCGAAUCCGGAACUGCCCCGCAGCGGUGAGCGGGAACGAAAGCCGCCCCCGACGCGCACGUCGGGACAAGCACUGGACCACGGGUCUGGGAAGCGGCGGCCGGUAGGAACCCCGGUGCGACCGGGAACGCCCGCGAGUCCGAAGACCUGCCAUCGGCGCAUCCGCCGC